GCCUGGUUGGCUCAGUCGGUUAAGCGUCUGACUUCCGCUCAGGUCACGAUCUCACGGUUCGUGAGUUCAAGCCCCGCGUCGGGCU
Molecule: transfer RNA, 85 nt
Filed under: Felis catus (domestic cat)
Lineage: Eukaryota; Metazoa; Chordata; Mammalia; Carnivora; Felidae
Rfam family: tRNA
About the family: Transfer RNA (tRNA) molecules are approximately 80 nucleotides in length. Their secondary structure includes four short double-helical elements and three loops (D, anti-codon, and T loops).
Source: Rfam by way of RNAcentral